GGGAAAUGGUCAACGUCACCUUCAUCCUAUAAAGCAAAUCCCAUUCCUUAUAAUUUCUCACUGGCAAUGCGUUUGGUAGAUCUUCAGAAAGUCCCAGCUUCGAUAUUCUUUCAGAAAGGUAGCAGAUACUCAAGGAUCAUGACUCAGUCAGUCAGUAACAGCAGUGGGAAGAAGCUUAUUCAAAUUGAUGUCAGUUCAGACACUGUAUGCCCAUGGUGCUAUGUUGGAAAGAGAAAUUUAGACAAAGCUAUAACUGCUUCUGAAGAUCAAUUUGAAUUUGAGAUCAAAUGGCAUCCGUUUUUUCUUAAUCCAUCAGCCCCUCAAGAAGGUGUAAAUAAGCUGCAGUUUUAUAGGGAAAAGUUUGGAUCCCGAACUGAUGGAAUUAUAGCUCAAAUGACAGAGGUUUCUUUUACCAUCAUCAUCUCUCUUUUACUUCUUAUUUGUAAAUUACAUGUACACGUGUUACCAUAUGCAAUGGCCUUUGAUUUUGGCUGGUAUGUAAUUAAGCCAUUCUAAUGCAAUUGGACAUUUGCAGGUUUAUAGGGGUCUUGGUCUGGAAUAUAACAUAUCAGGUCUCACGUAAGAUUCAAAUUCAUUUUAUUGUUGAUAUAUGGUCUGUUGUUAUAUGAGAAACUAAGCUGAGUUUCUUUGAUAUGACAUUAACAUCGUUUUGGAUAUGCACAGGGGCAAUACUUUAGAUAGCCACAGGCUUAUAUAUUUUGCUGGCCAACAGGGUCUUGAUAAGCAACAUAAUCUUGUAGAGGAGCUGUUCCUUGGUUACUUCACGCAAGCUAAAUACAUUGGUGAUAGGGAAUUUCUUCUGGAAUGUGCUGCAAAGGUUGGGGUAGAGGGGGCAGCAGAAUUCCUUGAAGAUCCCAAUAAUGGACUCAAGGAGGUAUGAUCAUCUAUUUUUGCUCCUUUUGAUUGCCACAAAGGCAGCUGAAAGCAUGAAACUAUGAAAUUUUAUUUUUGUUGCAAUAGGUUGUGGUUGCUCUAUUCAAAUCAAUGCUCAAAGAUUAAAGAAAUUUUUUCUUUAAAAAUUUCUUAAUGGCACUUUAAUGGUGCAACAUUUAAGUUUUCCAUGAUGCUUGCCUUGCAUUUUGGGGUAGAGAAAGUUUUGAAUCCUGCCAGUCAUAGUGGCCCAAUUUUUUAUUUCCUUGUUCAUAUUUGCAGCAAUCAACUAGACCCUGAGCUCUCUCUUUACUUUUUAGUUAAUUGCAUUAUAUUCCUUCGAUUUUUAUUCUUGGCUACAAACAAAUAAGUGGCUUUCUAUAUAUGAGCUGAACUUCCUCUUUAUGAUUCUUUAAAGGUCAACGAUGACCUCAAGAAGUACUCAGCAAAUAUCACAGGGGUCCCAUACUACGAGGUAUGCAACAAAAGAUCCAUUUUAUGAGUAUAUGUUUACAUCCAUAAAUAAAUAUAUGUCUGUCAUUUGGGGGUUAUACAUAUGCAUAAUCUUUUAGCAGAUCAAUGGAAAGCACAAGUUGAGCGGUGGCCAGCCCCCAGAGGUUUUCCUCAGAGCUUUUGAAGCUGCUGCAAAUUAACAGCCCCGCUCUAUUAACCCCUAUUUUAUUAUGCCAACAAGUAUCUCUUUGCAGUAUUGGAAUAAUAAAGGGACAUGUUGACAUGUACGUGCAUCCCUUGAAUCAUACUUGUAUAGGUUAUGCUAGAUGUUGGACGAAACAAUACAAAGUUUACAAUAAAUGGAGAUUUGGCUUUGUAGGCUUUGCAGUGUAUGUGAAACAUAAAUUAUAUUAUUAAAAUAUGUUUGUUUUUGUUCUUUGAUAUUUCAAAGGAUAGAAGACAAAUUUCUGUUGCAUCUAAGAUGAAG
This 1831-nucleotide unclassified non-coding RNA is filed under the name Hevea brasiliensis (rubber tree). The record is from RNAcentral. Lineage: Eukaryota; Viridiplantae; Streptophyta; Magnoliopsida; Malpighiales; Euphorbiaceae.